RNAcentral lists this transfer RNA (73 nucleotides) under Canis lupus familiaris (dog). It matches the Rfam family "tRNA". Rfam says of the family: Transfer RNA (tRNA) molecules are approximately 80 nucleotides in length. Lineage: Eukaryota; Metazoa; Chordata; Mammalia; Carnivora; Canidae. RNAcentral also lists the same sequence under 2 other names. The record is from Rfam by way of RNAcentral.
GCCUGGAUGGCUCAGUUGGUAGAACAUGUGACUUUGGAUUUCAGGGUCAUGAGUUCAAGCUUCACUUUGGGCA